This 408-nucleotide ribosomal RNA is filed under the name uncultured bacterium. Its description in RNAcentral is "partial 16S ribosomal RNA". It matches the Rfam family "Bacterial small subunit ribosomal RNA", at positions 28 to 526 of the family's 1533-position model. The record is from RNAcentral.
GAUGAACGCUGGCGGCGUGCCUAACACAUGCAAGUCGAACGGGAGGGCGGACGGGUGAGUAACACGUGGGCAACCUGGCUCAUAGAGGGGGAUAACAGAGAGAAAUUUCUGCUAAUACCGCAUACUAUGAUAUGGACCCGCGGCGGAUUAGCCAGUUGGAAGGGUAAGAGCCUACCAAAGCGACGAUCCGUAGCGGACCUGGAAGGAUGAACGGCCAGAUUGGGACUGAUACACGGCCCAAACUCCUACGGGAGGCAGCAGUGGGGGAUAUUGCACAAUGGGGGGAACCCUAAGGCAGCGACGCCGCGUGAGUGAAGAAGUAUUUCGGUAUGUAAAGCUCUAUCAGCAGGGAAGCAGUACCUGAAUAAGAAGCCCGGGCUAACUACGUGCCAGCAGCCGCGGUAAUUC